This 253-nucleotide ribosomal RNA is filed under the name uncultured bacterium. RNAcentral's name for it is "partial 16S ribosomal RNA". It matches the Rfam family "Bacterial small subunit ribosomal RNA", at positions 524 to 776 of the family's 1533-position model. The record is from RNAcentral.
UACGUAGGGGGCGAGCGUUGUCCGGAAUCAUUGGGCGUAAAGCGCGUGUAGGCGGCUCGGUAAGUCCGGUGUGAAACCUUGGGGCUCAACCCCAAGCCUGCACUGGAUACUGUCGAGCUUGAGUCCGGGAGGGGAGAGCGGAAUUCCUAGUGUAGCGGUGAAAUGCGCAGAUAUUAGGAAGAACACCGGUGGCGAAGGCGGCUCUCUGGAACGGUACUGACGCUGAGACGCGAAAGCGUGGGGAGCGAACAGG